RNAcentral lists this ribosomal RNA (244 nucleotides) under uncultured Lactobacillus sp. Its description in RNAcentral is "partial 16S ribosomal RNA". It matches the Rfam family "Bacterial small subunit ribosomal RNA", at positions 118 to 355 of the family's 1533-position model. Lineage: Bacteria; Bacillati; Bacillota; Bacilli; Lactobacillales; Lactobacillaceae. The record is from RNAcentral.
UGGGGAACCUGCCCCAUAGUCUGGGAUACCACUUGGAAACAGGUGCUAAUACCGGAUAAGAAAGCAGAUCGCAUGAUCAGCUUUUAAAAGGCGGCGUAAGCUGUCGCUAUGGGAUGGCCCCGCGGUGCAUUAGCUAGUUGGUAAGGUAAAGGCUUACCAAGGCGAUGAUGCAUAGCCGAGUUGAGAGACUGAUCGGCCACAUUGGGACUGAGACACGGCCAAACUCCUACGGGAGGCAGCAGCU